CUAAAGGUCCUUUUCAGGACCACUACAUGUUUUACUAAGGAGGUAA
Molecule: non-coding RNA, 46 nt
Organism: Rattus norvegicus (Norway rat)
Lineage: Eukaryota; Metazoa; Chordata; Mammalia; Rodentia; Muridae
Source: Rfam